CGGACGGGUGAGUAAUGUCUGGGAAACUGCCCGAUGGAGGGGGGUAACUACUGGAAACGGUAGCUAAUACCGCAUAACGUCGCAAGACCAAAGAGGGGGACCUUCGGGCCUCUUGCCAUCGGAUGUGCCCAGAUGGGAUUAGCUAGUAGGUGGGGUAACGGCUCACCUAGGCGACGAUCCCUAGCUGGUCUGAGAGGAUGACCAGCCACACUGGGACUGAGACACGGCCAG
Molecule: ribosomal RNA, 231 nt
Filed under: uncultured bacterium
Lineage: Bacteria
Description: partial 16S ribosomal RNA
Rfam family: Bacterial small subunit ribosomal RNA
Source: RNAcentral